Molecule: transfer RNA, 71 nt
Filed under: Candidatus Terrybacteria bacterium CG10_big_fil_rev_8_21_14_0_10_41_10
Lineage: Bacteria; Candidatus Terryibacteriota
Description: tRNA-Pro
Rfam family: tRNA
About the family: Transfer RNA (tRNA) molecules are approximately 80 nucleotides in length. Their secondary structure includes four short double-helical elements and three loops (D, anti-codon, and T loops).
Source: RNAcentral
CGGGCUGUAGUAUACCGGUAGUACGCGCCCAUGGGGUGGGUGUAGAGGGAGUUCAAUUCUCCCCAGCCCGA